Oxyura jamaicensis (ruddy duck) is the source of this 1286-nucleotide long non-coding RNA. RefSeq lists it as uncharacterized. NCBI's taxonomy places the organism in Eukaryota, Metazoa, Chordata, Aves, Anseriformes, Anatidae. The record is from RefSeq and is a predicted model, not a curated record. The transcript has 3 exons.
CCUUUCCAGAGAACCCAGGUAGGAGGCAGAGGUGAGAGGAUGACUUACUUUGGCCCAGCCACUGUUGUUGACAAACAUGAUUGGUGCAGGGUGGUGCCAGUGUGAUUUACUGUUCAUCUGGACCAAGAGAUCCGUAGGAGGGAGCUCUGCUGGGGAGCAUACUGCUGCAUUCAAUCACACUUGAACCUGAAGAUCUAGGACAACCUUAACAGGAAAAAGCAAAAGAGAAACAUGACACGAGGUAGUAGGAAUGUGGAUGUAUUCCACGACUGAGUGUAGUCCGUCUCUUCAGUUCAACAGAAAGUUUACAAGCUGUAGUGAGCAAUCCUUGCCACAGCACUGAAAAUGGCGGGCAUUGAUCACUGCAUUGAACUUUGUUAGUCACUUGUAUACUCUCACUACUGUAGAAAGACUUCUGCAAAAAGAUUUCUAAAUAUUUUUUUUUCUUUUUUCCCCAGUCUCACACUGCCUCCCUUAUUAUAUUUAGCAGGCUUUAGCACUUUUACUAACAUAAAUAAAUAAAAAUAUUUUAUAAGCCUGAGGAAUUGUUUUAAAGUUGUUUAUAUAUAUGCAUACAUAUAUAUAUAUAUAAAUUUAACUUCCUAAAUCUGUUCUUAAUCCCUUACUAAAUGUUGUUGGCAAGUAUUAGCCAGUAAGAUUAACUGUAAUAUGUAGGCUUUUUUUUUUUAGUAUCUGCAAAUAGCUGUGAGUAAUCCUCAUUUAAGCAUGGAUCUAAUUCACAUGUACUUUUGAAGCUGAUGAAUAGCAUUACAAAGAGAAUGAGAAUAUUUGAGAAUUUAUUUAAAUAAAAAUUAAUUGAAAAAUGAAUACCAUUAUAUAACCUUCUUAUUUUUAUGCAUAGUUUAAAUUUUCACUUGAAGGAAUGUAGUCAAUAAUAGUCCACUGAAGUAACUAAACUAAGCAGUCAGAAAAUAUAACUGAACAUAUGCAUUUAGAUUUUUAAAAUGUAUUAUUAAAAAUAAGUAUUUUUAAGAUGUAUGUGGAAGGAAUUUAUUUCCUAUUUUUCAGCUUAAGCAAUAACUGUAGACAAAAUUUAACACCUAUGUGAUACCAAAAGAGAAGUUUUAAAAUUACCUCAGUGAUAUCAACAACAUUUUUUGCAUUCUCUACUGGCUAGCAUAAAUUAAGAGUAUUUAAAGAUUAAUUAUUAAUACAUAAUAAAACCAAGUAGGUAAGAACAUAUGAUAAAUCAGUAUAUUUUAUAGUUAAAUUGUCCUAUUCCUCUUUUAGGAGUUUGAUUAUAUGGAGUCAUAUCACUACAACUC